AGGUCAAUUAAGACCCGCCGGUCC
Molecule: non-coding RNA, 24 nt
Filed under: Arabidopsis thaliana (thale cress)
Lineage: Eukaryota; Viridiplantae; Streptophyta; Magnoliopsida; Brassicales; Brassicaceae
Source: RNAcentral